This is a long non-coding RNA of Osmia bicornis bicornis, 486 nucleotides long. RefSeq lists it as uncharacterized. The transcript is spliced from 2 exons. The record is from RefSeq and is a predicted model, not a curated record. Lineage: Eukaryota; Metazoa; Arthropoda; Insecta; Hymenoptera; Megachilidae.
CUGGGAAGUGACGUCAUUGGUUAGUUGCUAGUCUUCUGAGUUUCUGAUAGUGUUCCUCUAGAUGGCGCUUGAAAAUUUCAAAUAGAUUAUAUGGAGGGCUCUAGAAACCUAACCUGACCUCCUUACCAUUUUGGUAUCACAUUCUACCAUAUCGGUUGGGAGUAGAAUCAUAUUAUAGCGCUACUAGUGGUAAAAUUUAAGAUUAAAGAACGCUUUUCGCGCGUAAAUCUAAAUCGCAAGCGAAAGCCAAUGGAGUCAGUAGUGAGGGCUCCAAAAAAUGGAAAAUUUUCAGGCUCCAGGCGUCUUUGCACGCGGCUCGAGGAGAAGCCGGUGCCGGGUACGACUCUCAGUCUUAUAGCGACCGCCGAGGGAUGCAGAUGUAUGAAUGUACCUGUCAAACUUACCUAUAUCCUUAUCUUAUUUUGUGUAUUUAUUUAAUUUGAUGUAUUUAUCUUCUUAGCUUAUUGAAUAAACUUAUUAAAGGGA